Molecule: unclassified non-coding RNA, 2464 nt
Filed under: Pomacea canaliculata
Lineage: Eukaryota; Metazoa; Mollusca; Gastropoda; Architaenioglossa; Ampullariidae
Description: deleted in malignant brain tumors 1 protein-like, transcript variant X1
Source: RNAcentral
AGUGGUAUCCCUGCAGCUUCAACACUUUUGUGAAGGUCCAGCCAUCGUGUAUCAUGUCUAGGAUUGUUUUCAUGAUGCUUCUUUUCGUCCCUGGUUUAGCCGAAGAGUUCAGAGCCCGCCUAGUUAACGGGACAGCGAAUGCGGGGCGUCUAGAAAUACUUUACAGAGGAGAAUGGAGCACAGUCUGCCACGAUGGCUUUGGAAUACAAGAAGCCAGGGUUGCGUGCAGGAUGCUAGGCUUUAGCAGUUCUAGAGCAACAGUUGUUGCAUCAGGUGCAUACGGAGCAGGAGCAGGAAGAAUUCUCCUGGAUGAUGUAAAGUGCCAUGGAACAGAGAACAGUCUUGCAGAGUGCCGUCACAUGACUUACUACAGCAGCGACUGCAGUCAUAGACGAGAUGUCGGAGUUAUCUGCUAUGAGGCUAAGCAUUUCGUGGCCCGUAUAGUAAACGGUUCAGAAAAUUCGGGGCGUCUAGAAAUAUUUUACGACGGAGAAUGGAGCACAGUCUGCGACAAAGGCUUUGGAAAAAAAGAGGCAACGGUGGCCUGCAGGAUGCUGGGCUUGAACAGCACUGGUGCAACAGUUGUUACAAUAAGCAAAUACGGAGAAGGAGCAGGAAGAAUUCUUCUCAAAGAAGUAAAAUGUCAAGGAACAGAAAGCAGUCUUCCGGAGUGCGAUGUCUCUACUUUCUACCCCAGCGACUGCAGUCAUUCCGAUGAUGUCGCUGUUGCCUGCUAUGAAGUUAGUCCGGGACCAGCCCGUCUAGCUAACGGGGACAGAAAGUCCGGGCGUCUAGAAAUAUAUCACAAAGGAGAAUGGAGUACAGUCUGCAACAUUGGCUUUGAGGACAGGGAGGCCAGGGUGGCCUGCAGGAUGCUAGGCUUUAACAGCUCUGACUCAUUAGUUGUUGAAACAAGAAGAUACGGAGAAGGAGCAGGAAGAAUUCUACCCCAUGAAGUAAAUUGUGAAGGAACAGAAAGCAGUCUUGAGGAGUGCGAUCUUAGUAAUUUCCACUCAAGCAGAUGCGGUCAUUCCAAAGAUGUCGGUCUUAUCUGCAAUGAGGUUGGUCCGGUAACAGCUCGACUAGCUAACGGGACGCAUGAUGGGGGACGUCUAGAAAUAUUUCACAACGGAAAAUGGAGUACAGUGUGCGCCGGUUUCUUUGGUGACAAAGAGGCCAGGGUGGCCUGCAGGAUGCUAGGCUUUAACAGCUCUGGAGGAAGAGUUGUUCACCCACGUAUAUACGGAGCAGGAGCAGGAGAAAUUAUCCUCAAUGAUGUAUAUUGUAAAGGAACAGAGAGCAGUCUUGUGGAGUGCUAUCACAAUAGACUCUACCACCACAACUGCAGACAUUCCGAUCAUGUCGGCGUUACCUGCGAUAAAUUUGGACCGGUAACAGCCCGUCUAGCUAACGGGGACAGAAAGGCGGGACGUCUAGAAAUAUUUUACAACGGAAAAUGGAGUACAGUCUGCAACAAUGGCUUUGGAGACAAAGAGGCCAGGGUAGCCUGCAGGAUGCUAGGCUUUAACAGCUCUAAUGCAAGAGUUGAUAAAGCAGGUGUUUUCCGUCCUUGGAGAAAAGGAAAAGGAAGAAUUGCCGUCAGUCAAGUAAAUUGUGUAGGGACAGAGAGCAGUGUUGCGGAGUGCGAUUACUCGAGCGACACCUCCUCCUGCUUUCAUGAGGAUGAUGUCCGUGUUAUCUGCAAUGAAGACUCCACAGAUUUGAAGCUAACAGCCCGACUAGUUAACGGGGACGGAAUGUCGGGGCGUCUAGAAAUAUUUCAUAACGGAGAGUGGGGUACAGUCUGCAACGAUAUCUUUGAGGACACGGAGGCCAGGGUAGCCUGCAGGAUGCUAGGCUUAAAAAGCUUUGGAGCAACAGUUGUUGACACAAGUACAUACGGACAAGGAGCAGGAACAAUUAUCUUCAAUCAUGUAGCGUGUCGAGGAACAGAAAACAGUCUUGAGGAGUGUGAAGUCUCUAACUUCUACUCCAUCGGCUGCAGGCAUUCCGAAGAUGUCGGGGUUAUCUGCAAGGAAGAUAGUCCGGUAGCAGCCCGACUAGCUGACGGAGACGCAGAGGGGGGACGUCUAGAACUAUUUCACAACGGAGAAUGGAAGUCAGUUUGCAGCAGUCGCUUUGGAGACAAAUCUGCUUUGGUGGCCUGCAGGAUGGCAGGCUUUAACAGUUCUGCAAUAGUAGCUGCUACAUCAAAUGCAUACGGAUCCGGAGCAGGAAGAAUUAUCUUUGAUUAUGUGAAGUGCAGAGGAACAGAGAGCAGCCUGUUGGACUGCAGUUACCAAACCGACUACUAAGUCUGUCAUUAAAAAAGACUCAUCCUUGCCAACCACAACAUCGCCGACAACAACAACUACAACGGAAAAGAUUACAAAGGUGACUACAACCACGAAAUCUAGAACCGGAAACGCAACAGCAGUAACAACGUCAACAACUACAACAUCUA